RNAcentral lists this ribosomal RNA (500 nucleotides) under uncultured euryarchaeote. RNAcentral describes it as "bacterial SSU rRNA". It matches the Rfam family "Archaeal small subunit ribosomal RNA", at positions 321 to 822 of the family's 1478-position model. Lineage: Archaea; Methanobacteriati; Methanobacteriota. The record is from RNAcentral.
CCCUACGGGGCGCAGCAGGCGCGAAAACUUCACACUGUGCGAAAGCACGAUGAGGGAAUCCCAAGUGCUUGCACGUAAGUGUAAGCUGUUUCUUUGUUUAAAACGCAUAGAGAGUAAGAGCUGGGUAAGACGGGUGCCAGCCGCCGCGGUAAUACCCGCAGCUCGAGUGGUGGCCGCUAUUAUUGGGCCUAAAACGUCCGUAGCCGGUUUAAUAAAUGCCUGGGUAAAUCGUGUAGCUUAACUAUACGAAUUCCGGGUAGACUGUUAAACUUGAGACCGGGAGAAGUUAGAGGUACUCCUGGGGUAGAGGUGAAAUUCUGUAAUCCUAGGGGGACCACCAGUGGCGAAGGCGUCUGACUAGAACGGGUCUGACGGUGAGGGACGAAGCACUGGGGCGCAAACCGGAUUAGAUACCCGGGUAGUCCAGGGUGUAAACGCUGCUUGCUUGAUGUUGGUUGGGCUCCGAGCCCAAUCAGUGUCGGAGAGAAGUUGUUAAGCAA